GACGAACCGUGCGAACGUUGUUCGGAUUCACUGGGCUUAAAGGGCGCGUAGGCGGACAAUCAAGUCAGGGGUGAAAUCUUUCGGCCCAACCGGAAAAGUGCCUUUGAUACUGGUUGUCUCGAGGGAGGUAGGGGCGUGUGGAACUUCCGGUGGAGCGGUGAAAUGCGUAGAUAUCAUUUGGAACGCCAAUGGUGAAAACAGGUAGCUGGGAGUGUGCUGACGCUGAGACACGAAAGCCAGGGGAGCAAACGGG
This 253-nucleotide ribosomal RNA is filed under the name uncultured bacterium. Its description in RNAcentral is "partial 16S ribosomal RNA". It matches the Rfam family "Bacterial small subunit ribosomal RNA", at positions 524 to 776 of the family's 1533-position model. The record is from RNAcentral.